This 380-nucleotide ribosomal RNA is filed under the name uncultured bacterium. RNAcentral's name for it is "bacterial SSU rRNA". It matches the Rfam family "Archaeal small subunit ribosomal RNA", at positions 473 to 853 of the family's 1478-position model. The record is from RNAcentral. RNAcentral also lists the same sequence under 1 other name.
AUACCAGCACCCCGAGUGGUCGGGACGAUUAUUGGGCCUAAAGCAUCCGUAGCCGGUUCUACAAGUCUUCCGUUAAAUCCACCUGCUUAACAGAUGGGCUGCGGAGGAUACUAUGGAGCUAGGAGGCGGGAGAGGCAAGCGGUACUUAGUGGGUAGGGGUAAAAUCCGUUGAUCCAUUGAAGACCACCAGUGGCGAAGGCGGCUUGCCAGAACGCACUCGACGGUGAGGGAUGAAAGCUGGGGGAGCAAACCGGAUUAGAUACCCGGGUAGUCCCAGCUGUAAACGAUGCAGACUCGGUGAUGAAUAGGCUUCGUGCCUAUUCAGUGCCGCAGGGAAGCCGUUAAGUCUGCCGCCUGGGGAGUACGGUCGCAAGACUGAA